Molecule: ribosomal RNA, 253 nt
Filed under: uncultured bacterium
Lineage: Bacteria
Description: partial 16S ribosomal RNA
Rfam family: Bacterial small subunit ribosomal RNA
Source: RNAcentral
UACGAAGGUGGCGAGCGUUGUUCGGAUUCACUGGGCAUAAAGGGCGCGUAGGCGGCGCUGUAAGCGGCGUGUGAAAACCCACGGCUCAACCGUGGAACUGCCCGCCGGACUGCAGUGCUUGAGGGCGGGAGGGAGGUGUGGAACUCUAGGUGGAGCGGUGAAAUGCGUAGAUAUCUAGAGGAACACCGGUGGCGAAAGCGACACCUUGGCCCGCAUCUGACGCUGAGGCGCGAAAGCGUGGGUAGCAAACAGG